RNAcentral lists this ribosomal RNA (468 nucleotides) under uncultured bacterium. RNAcentral's name for it is "partial 16S ribosomal RNA". It matches the Rfam family "Bacterial small subunit ribosomal RNA", at positions 28 to 507 of the family's 1533-position model. The record is from RNAcentral.
GACGAACGCUGGCGGCGUGCUUAACACAUGCAAGUCGAACGGAAAGGCCCUGCUUUUGUGGGGUGCUCGAGUGGCGAACGGGUGAGUAACACGUGAGUAACCUGCCCUUGACUUUGGGAUAACUUCAGGAAACUGGGGCUAAUACCGGAUAGGAGCUCCUGCUGCAUGGUGGGGGUUGGAAAGUUUCGGCGGUUGGGGAUGGACUCGCGGCUUAUCAGCUUGUUGGUGGGGUAGUGGCUUACCAAGGCUUUGACGGGUAGCCGGGCUGAGAGGGUGACCGGCCACGUCGGGACUGAGAUGCGGCCCGGACCCGUACGGGAGGCGGCAGUGGGGAAUAGUGUACUAUGGGCGGAACCCUGAUGUAGCCACGCCGCGUGCGGGAUGACGGCCUUCGGGUUGUAAUCCGCUUUCGCCUGUGACGAAGCGUGAGUGACGGUAAUGGGUAAAGAAGCACCGGCUAACUACGUG